Long non-coding RNA from Phyllostomus discolor (pale spear-nosed bat), 151 nucleotides. RefSeq lists it as uncharacterized. The record is from RefSeq and is a predicted model, not a curated record. The transcript is spliced from 3 exons. NCBI's taxonomy places the organism in Eukaryota, Metazoa, Chordata, Mammalia, Chiroptera, Phyllostomidae.
GUCCUUUCACCCCUUUCCUUCCCACAGUGUCUCUCCUGCAUUCUUCCAAACUGCUAGGAGAGAGCUCUGCAUCGCUGCUACAUCCUACUUUCCAGCUACCCAAACUGCAUGGCAAGGGGAGCCCCAAAGCUGUACGGUUCUGCCUCUCUCU